RNAcentral lists this long non-coding RNA (335 nucleotides) under Coffea arabica (coffee). Its description in RNAcentral is "long non-coding RNA (CARA_LNC001082)". Lineage: Eukaryota; Viridiplantae; Streptophyta; Magnoliopsida; Gentianales; Rubiaceae. The record is from RNAcentral.
AAAACUUGAUGAAAGAAAUCUUUUCUUCAUCAUUCCAUAGCAAGGUUGUAGCCUGCAAUAUAAACAAUCAGAGGAAGAGGUACAAUAAGAAUGGCAGCAGGUUUCCAAAUCAAAGCAAGGUACAUCCUGGAUGCUGCAUUUUGUCAUACACUAAUUCUACUUCCUCGUCACGUUCUAGUAAACAUUCUUCCGUAUUUCAUAUGCCUUUACAGUACUUCAAGCCACAGUAGAAAGAAGUUACAUUCUGCGGAGACGGUGGAGCAGUAGCAGGAAAGGCCAAGAAGCUGCAGCAAAUGUCUAGACAAAAAUAAUACCAUUCUCCUGGAUGGUAUCAA